AAAAGUGAAAGACGGUCUUGCUGUCACUUAUAGAUGGAUCCGCGCUGCAUUAGCUAGUUGGUAAGGUAACGGCUUACCAAGGCAACGAUGCAUAGCCGACCUGAGAGGGUGAUCGGCCACACUGGAACUGAGACACGGUCCAGACUCCUACGGGAGGCAGCAGUAGGGAAUCUUCCGCAAUGGGCGAAAGCCUGACGGAGCAACGCCGCGUGAGUGAUGAAGGUCUUCGGAUCGUAAAACUCUGUUAUUAGGGAAGAACAUAUGUGUAAGUAACUGUGCACAUCUUGACGGUACCUAAUCAGAAAGCCACGGCUAACUACGUGCCAGCAGCCGCGGUAAUACGUAGGUGGCAAGCGUUAUCCGGAAUUAUUGGGCGUAAAGCGCGCGUAGGCGGUUUUUUAAGUCUGAUGUGAAAGCCCACGGCUCAACCGUGGAGGGUCAUUGGAAACUGGAAAACUUGAGUGCAGAAGAGGAAAGUGGAAUUCCAUGUGUAGCGGUGAAAUGCGCAGAGAUAUGGAGGAACACCAGUGGCGAAGGCGACUUUCUGGUCUGUAACUGACGCUGAUGUGCGAAAGCGUGGGGAUCAAACAGGAUUAGAUACCCUGGUAGUCCACGCCGUAAACGAUGAGUGCUAAGUGUUAGGGGGUUUCCGCCCCUUAGUGCUGCAGCUAACGCAUUAAGCACUCCGCCUGGGGAGUACGACCGCAAGGUUGAAACUCAAAGGAAUUGACGGGGACCCGCACAAGCGGUGGAGCAUGUGGUUUAAUUCGAAGCAACGCGAAGAACCUUACCAAAUCUUGACAUCCUUUGACAACUCUAGAGAUAGAGCCUUCCCCUUCGGGGGACAAAGUGACAGGUGGUGCAUGGUUGUCGUCAGCUCGUGUCGUGAGAUGUUGGGUUAAGUCCCGCAACGAGCGCAACCCUUAAGCUUAGUUGCCAUCAUUAAGUUGGGCACUCUAAGUUGACUGCCGGUGACAAACCGGAGGAAGGUGGGGAUGACGUCAAAUCAUCAUGCCCCUUAUGAUUUGGGCUACACACGUGCUACAAUGGACAAUACAAAGGGCAGCGAAACCGCGAGGUCAAGCAAAUCCCAUAAAGUUGUUCUCAGUUCGGAUUGUAGUCUGCAACUCGACUACAUGAAGCUGGAAUCGCUAGUAAUCGUAGAUCAGCAUGCUACGGUGAAUACGUUCCCGGGUCUUGUACACACCGCCCGUCACACCACGAGAGUUUGUAACACCCGAAGCCGGUGGAGUAACCUUUUAGGAGCUAGCCGUCGAAGGUGGGACAAAUGAUUGGGGUGAAGUCGUA
RNAcentral lists this ribosomal RNA (1308 nucleotides) under Staphylococcus aureus. RNAcentral describes it as "bacterial SSU rRNA". It matches the Rfam family "Bacterial small subunit ribosomal RNA", at positions 196 to 1490 of the family's 1533-position model. Lineage: Bacteria; Bacillati; Bacillota; Bacilli; Caryophanales; Staphylococcaceae. The record is from RNAcentral.